RNAcentral lists this ribosomal RNA (465 nucleotides) under Vreelandella stevensii. RNAcentral's name for it is "partial 16S ribosomal RNA". It matches the Rfam family "Bacterial small subunit ribosomal RNA", at positions 338 to 795 of the family's 1533-position model. Lineage: Bacteria; Pseudomonadati; Pseudomonadota; Gammaproteobacteria; Oceanospirillales; Halomonadaceae. The record is from RNAcentral.
CCUACGGGCUGCUGCAGUGGGGAAUAUUGGACAAUGGGCGAAAGCCUGAUCCAGCCAUGCCGCGUGUGUGAAGAAGGCCUUCGGGUUGUAAAGCACUUUCAGUGGGGAAGAAAGCCUUGGGGCUAAUACCCUCGAGGAAGGACAUCACCCACAGAAGAAGCACCGGCUAACUCCGUGCCAGCAGCCGCGGUAAUACGGAGGGUGCGAGCGUUAAUCGGAAUUACUGGGCGUAAAGCGCGCGUAGGCGGUCUGAUAAGCCGGUUGUGAAAGCCCCGGGCUCAACCUGGGAACGGCAUCCGGAACUGUCAGGCUAGAGUGCAGGAGAGGAAGGUAGAAUUCCCGGUGUAGCGGUGAAAUGCGUAGAGAUCGGGAGGAAUACCAGUGGCGAAGGCGGCCUUCUGGACUGACACUGACGCUGAGGUGCGAAAGCGUGGGUAGCAAACAGGAGUAGAUACCCCUGUAGUC